UCCUUGAAAUAGGUUUGCUGUGUGGAGA
RNAcentral lists this non-coding RNA (28 nucleotides) under Mus musculus (house mouse). The record is from RNAcentral. Lineage: Eukaryota; Metazoa; Chordata; Mammalia; Rodentia; Muridae.